GGGUUGCUAACUCAAUGGUAGAGUACUCGGCUUUUAAGUGCGACUAUGAUCUUUUACACAUUUGGAUGAAGCAACAAAUUCGUCCAGACUCUUGGUAGAGUCUAGAAGACCACGACUGAUCCUCAAGGGUCCGGGUUCGAGUCCCGGGCAACCCA
Molecule: non-coding RNA, 155 nt
Organism: Brachypodium distachyon (stiff brome)
Lineage: Eukaryota; Viridiplantae; Streptophyta; Magnoliopsida; Poales; Poaceae
Source: the annotation of a RefSeq genome assembly